RNAcentral lists this ribosomal RNA (448 nucleotides) under uncultured Anaerolineaceae bacterium. RNAcentral's name for it is "bacterial SSU rRNA". It matches the Rfam family "Bacterial small subunit ribosomal RNA", at positions 920 to 1378 of the family's 1533-position model. The record is from RNAcentral. Lineage: Bacteria; Bacillati; Chloroflexota; Anaerolineae; Anaerolineales; Anaerolineaceae.
CCCCGCACAAGCAGCGGAGCGUGUGGUUUAAUUCGAUGCUACACGAAGAACCUUACCAGGGUUUGACAUACAAGUAGUAGGGAAAGGAAACUGGACCGACCCUUCGGGAGCUUGUACAGGUGCUGCAUGGCUGUCGUCAGCUCGUGUCGUGAGAUGUUCGGUUAAGUCCGCUAACGAGCGCAACCCUCGCUGUGUGUUACAAGUGUCACACGGAACUGCCGGUCAUAAACCGGAGGAAGGUGGGAUGACGUCAAGUCAGCAUGGCCUUUAUGUCCAGGGCUACACACGUGCUACAAUGGGCGAUAUAGAGGGAAGCAAGGCCGCAAGGUAGAGCUAAUCCCUAAAGUCGUCCUCAGUUCGGAUUGCAGGCUGCAACUCGCCUGCAUGAAGUCGGAAUCGCUAGUAAUCGCGGAUCAGCUACGCCGCGGUGAAUACGUUCUCGGGCCCU